RNAcentral lists this ribosomal RNA (253 nucleotides) under uncultured bacterium. Its description in RNAcentral is "partial 16S ribosomal RNA". It matches the Rfam family "Bacterial small subunit ribosomal RNA", at positions 524 to 776 of the family's 1533-position model. The record is from RNAcentral.
UACGUAGGGGGCAAGCGUUGUCCGGAAUCAUUGGGCGUAAAGCGCGUGUAGGCGGCUAGGUAAGUCUGCUCUGAAAGCCCGGGGCUCAACCCCGGGAGGCGGGUGGAUACUGUCUAGCUCGAGUCCGGAAGAGGAGUGUGGAAUUCCUGGUGUAGCGGUGGAAUGCGCAGAUAUCAGGAGGAACACCGAUGGCGAAGGCAGAUCUCUGGGCCGUAACUGACGCUGAGGAGCGAAAGCGUGGGGAGCGAACAGG